RNAcentral lists this ribosomal RNA (1085 nucleotides) under Bacillus pumilus. Its description in RNAcentral is "bacterial SSU rRNA". It matches the Rfam family "Bacterial small subunit ribosomal RNA", at positions 34 to 1107 of the family's 1533-position model. The record is from RNAcentral. Lineage: Bacteria; Bacillati; Bacillota; Bacilli; Caryophanales; Bacillaceae.
CGGCCAGUGCGGGUGCUAUACAUGCAAGUCGAGCGAACUGAAGGGAGCUUGCUCCCGGAAGUUAGCGGCGGACGGGUGAGUAACACGUGGGUAACCUGCCUGUAAGACUGGGAUAACUCCGGGAAACCGGAGCUAAUACCGGAUAUUUUCUUGAACCGCAUGGUUCAAGAAUGAAAGACGGUUUCGGCUGUCACUUACAGAUGGACCCGCGGCGCAUUAGCUAGUUGGUGAGGUAAUGGCUCACCAAGGCGACGAUGCGUAGCCGACCUGAGAGGGUGAUCGGCCACACUGGGACUGAGACACGGCCCAGACUCCUACGGGAGGCAGCAGUAGGGAAUCUUCCGCAAUGGACGAAAGUCUGACGGAGCAACGCCGCGUGAGUGAUGAAGGUUUUCGGAUCGUAAAGCUCUGUUGUUAGGGAAGAACAAGUACGAGAGUAACUGCUCGUACCUUGACGGUACCUAACCAGAAAGCCACGGCUAACUACGUGCCAGCAGCCGCGGUAAUACGUAGGUGGCAAGCGUUGUCCGGAAUUAUUGGGCGUAAAGGGCUCGCAGGCGGUUUCUUAAGUCUGAUGUGAAAGCCCCCGGCUCAACCGGGGAAGGUCAUUGGAAACUGGGGAACUUGAGUGCAGAAGAGGAGAGUGGAAUUCCACGUGUAGCGGUGAAAUGCGUAGAGAUGUGGAGGAACACCAGUGGCGAAGGCGACUCUCUGGUCUGUAACUGACGCUGAGGAGCGAAAGCGUGGGGAGCGAACAGGAUUAGAUACCCUGGUAGUCCACGCCGUAAACGAUGAGUGCUAAGUGUUAGGGGUUUCCGCCCCUUAGUGCUGCAGCUAACGCAUUAAGCACUCCGCCUGGGGAGUACGGUCGCAAGACUGAAACUCAAAGGAAUUGACGGGGGCCCGCACAAGCGGUGGAGCAUGUGUUUAAUUCGAAGCAACGCGAAGAACUUACCAGUCUUGACAUCUCUGACAACCUAGGAGAUAGGGCUUUCCUUCGGGAACGGAUGAACAGUGAUGCAUGCUGUCGUUCAGCUCGUGUCUGGGAGAAUGUGGUUAAGUUCCCGCACGAGCCGCAACCUUGA